CUUAAAUCCUGUCACAGAGGCUGUUCUCUUCAUGUCAGAGAUGCCCUCCUGGCUUGGAAUUGCUGUGUUCGUUGACGACUCGCAUGUCUCCUGGCUAUCCGCUCGAUGCUCUUCAAGUGGCAUAUGACCGAUGUUUUGUCACGUACCCCAGCUCCCACAGCUGUACAUCUUUGAAUGACCGAACUUGAAAACCCACUGUUCAGCAUAUGCACGGCACUGUGUAUGCGGCUGGUGAAAUUUCUAUGAUAUUUUGCUCUGGGAUGACUGUAAUCCGGACACGGCAUGGGAAUCGCCAUCAGUCGUGAAGAAUCCAAUCGUGAGUGGAGAGACGUCUGAUGAGAAGUCACUUGAACACUGAGCUGCAGAAUGUUCUUCGUCUCCUAUUGUGUCGUCAAGCCGGAGAUU
Molecule: long non-coding RNA, 405 nt
Organism: Gigantopelta aegis
Lineage: Eukaryota; Metazoa; Mollusca; Gastropoda; Neomphalida; Peltospiridae
Exons: 3
Source: RefSeq, a predicted model, not a curated record